GACGAACGCUGGCGGCGUGCUUAACACAUGCAAGUCGAACGGAAAGGCCCUGCUUUUGUGGGGUGCUCGAGUGGCGAACGGGUGAGUAACACGUGAGUAACCUGCCCUUGACUUUGGGAUAACUUCAGGAAACUGGGGCUAAUACCGGAUAGGAGCUCCUGCUGCAUGGUGGGGGUUGGAAAGUUUCGGCGGUUGGGGAUGGACUCGCGGCUUAUCAGCUUGUUGGUGGGGUAGUGGCUUACCAAGGCUUUGACGGGUAGCCGGCCUGAGUGGGUGACCGGCCACAUUGGGACUGAGAUACGGCCCAGACUCCUACGGGAGGCGGCAGUGGGGAAUAUUGCACAAUGGGCGGAAGCCUGAUGCAGCAACGCCGCGUGCGGGAUGACGGCCUUCGGGUUGUAAACCGCUUUCGCCUGUGACGAAGCGUGAGUGACGGUAAUGGGUAAAGAAGCACCGGCUAACUACGUGCCAGCAGCCGCGGUGAUACGUAGGGUGCGAGCGUUGUCCGGAUUUAUUGGGCGUAAAGGGCUCGUAGGUGGUUGAUCGCGUCGGAAGUGUAAUCUUGGGGCUUAACCCUGAGCGUGCUUUCGAUACGGGUUGACUUGAGGAAGGUAGGGGAGAAUGGAAUUCCUGGUGGAGCGGUGGAAUGCGCAGAUAUCAGGAGGAACACCAGUGGCGAAGGCGGUUCUCUGGGCCUUUCCUGACGCUGAGGAGCGAAAGCGUGGGGAGCGAACAGGCUUAGAUACCCUGGUAGUCCACGCUGUAAACGGUGGGUACUAGGUGUGGGGUCCAUUCCACGGGUUCCGUGCCGUAGCUAACGCUUUAAGUACCCCGCCUGGGGAGUACGGCCGCAAGGCUAAAACUCAAAGGAAUUGACGGGGCCCCGCACAAGCGGCGGAGCAUGCGGAUUAAUUCGAUGCAACGCGUAGAACCUUACCUGGGUUUGACAUGGAUCGGGAGUGCUCAGAGAUGGGUGUGCCUCUUUUGGGGUCGGUUCACAGGUGGUGCAUGGCUGUCGUCAGCUCGUGUCGUGAGAUGUUGGGUUAAGUCCCGCAACGAGCGCAACCCUUGUUCACUGUUGCCAGCACGUUAUGGUGGGGACUCAGUGGAGACCGCCGGGGUCAACUCGGAGGAAGGUGGGGAUGACGUCAAGUCAUCAUGCCCCUUAUGUCCAGGGCUUCACGCAUGCUACAAUGGCUGGUACAGAGAGUGGCGAGCCUGUGAGGGUGAGCGAAUCUCGGAAAGCCGGUCUCAGUUCGGAUUGGGGUCUGCAACUCGACCUCAUGAAGUCGGAGUCGCUAGUAAUCGCAGAUCAGCAACGCUGCGGUGAAUACGUUCCCGGGGCU
Molecule: ribosomal RNA, 1346 nt
Filed under: uncultured bacterium
Lineage: Bacteria
Description: partial 16S ribosomal RNA
Rfam family: Bacterial small subunit ribosomal RNA
Source: RNAcentral